Camelina sativa (false flax) is the source of this 186-nucleotide non-coding RNA. The record is from RefSeq and is a predicted model, not a curated record. Lineage: Eukaryota; Viridiplantae; Streptophyta; Magnoliopsida; Brassicales; Brassicaceae.
AGUAUGUCUAUGAUUGUGUGUUUUCAGGACGGUCUCGUUCACGUUCAAUCUCUCGUUCACGCUCUCCCCGUCGUCCAUCAGACUCUAGAAGCAGAUACAGAUCAAGGUCUUACUCUCCUGCACCAAGACGAAGAGGAGCAGACUAUUCACCAUCUCCAAGGAGAAGGCAAGAGGAACGUCCACGAU